UUGAUACAUUUGAUCAUGAAUAAUAGCUUAGGCAUUUGCUGUUAGAACAUGACAAAAUAUUUUUUGAACCUCACAUGAUCAUUGAUGAAGAAAAUGAUAGUUUUUUCUGCACCCAUCCACAGAAACUUGAAAGUAUCCAAAUAUUUCCUGCCUCGAAUAGAGGAAAUAUUAUCUAAAAGCAGAAAGGAGUAAAUUUUUUGGACACGAUUAAAAAUACACAUUCCCCUUUUUUGGUCUCUCUAUGAAAUUUCCUGAUAUUAAUAUUGUGAAGAUGAGUAAUGAGGGGUUUGUUUUUUUGAAUUAUGGUAUUAGUUUCUGUCAACUCUGUUCUGCAUCUUUUGCAAGUGCUUUUAUAAUCUUAUCCUAGGUUCAAUAUUCAUACUUAGUCUAGCAUUAAUACUAAUUUCAGCGAACUUAUUUUAGCCUCUUGUCACUGGCACUUAAAAAUGUUAUACUGCUCUGUUAUGACUUAUUGCAUAUUUGAACUGGUUCAAAUUUGACACUCUUUUUUUGAAACAAACUUACACUUUUUGUAGGUUAUGUGAAUUGUUAUGUCAAAGAAAAUAUAGAUCUGUUAAUUGCAUUGUUAAAGCAUAUCUCUGAAUCAAGAGACAAUGCAAAGAAACGGGAGUUUGGCUUUAGAGAAACAAAGGUCGAAACCAUGUUCUGAAUGCGAGUGGGCUGUUAGAGAAACAAAGGUGGAUAUCAUGUUCUGAAUGUGAGUGGGCUUAGUGCAACAAUGUGAAAGGCUUCAAGGAAAUGGAAUUUCUUAUGCAAUCCUGUUCAAUAAAUAUCUAUUUCUGAAUUUACAUGUUCUAUAGCUGCUUUGAAUCUGCAUGUUUGCUUGGGCGGGCGCUGCUUCGGGUCGACGCCGCCGUCGCGGCUCCUCCACACCAUGGCCGACGUAUGCUCGGCGGCGGCCUCCGACGAAACCCUAGCUGGGAGUGUUCCCAGCCGAGGAAGACCGAAGACCAAGCCACGACUGGGGAAGAUAUUGGUGAAUUAUCCAUGAUUAUUAAAAUAAAUAGUACACCUGGAUAUGGAUGCUAUUUGGAUGCCAAGUGACAUGGUUUGAAUGGGGCAAGAUAGGUGCAUGGUAUCAUGAAGAGGCCAUGCUUUUGUGUGGGGUAAGAUUUGAGUUGAUCAUGGCUGUUGAAUAUUCAUUUUAAUUGCACUUGAUGGGUCUGCAAUUUUUAGUUGCAGAGAAGUGCCGUAGUUGACAAACCAGGUGUUUUUGGUGCUUGACUACUCACAGUAACAUUUGUUCUUGAGCUAUUUUUUGCAUCAUGGGGAACUAUAUAUCUGGCUAUGUGUCACGGUCUAUUGAUAUAACUGAAAAUACAUGUUCCUUCUUUGUCGUGUGUUUACUGUGUUAGAUUGUUAUAUACUUCGGCUCUCUGCUAUGUAAAAUAAAUGCUAUCAAAAGAGACAUGGUGUGGUCUCGCUGCUACAAUCUCCAAAUUCCGUUGUUUCAAUUGUAUAUGAUCUUACACUUGUUAUUUCGGAGAUACACUAUGGAAUCAUAUCAUGUGCUUGCAGAGAGCAAUACUGUUGUGUUUCUUCUCAAAAGAUUGUUGGACUCCAUUCAGGUCUACAUGCCUGUAUGAUCUUGUUUUCAUUUAAUACCUAUAUCUCUUUCAUUCAAUUCUUAUGUUGCCUUUCAACUCCAAGAUCUGCCUGGUACAGAACUGAUCCAAUAUUUAUUCUGCUGCCGUAUACUGUGCCUCUGAACAGAAUUUCAACAAUAGUGGUGCUAGGAGAGAGCCAGUAUUUUUCCAUUUACUCAUCCAGUGGAGGUCUCGCAACAGGAGUAGUAUUAAGCUUGGUGAAGUAUAUUAUGUUAGUGGACGAACAAAAUACCAUGGAUGUCUUUGCUAUUUUGGAGGCAAUUCUUUUUGUGGGUUCACCUCUUGUGAUUAUCUAUAUGAGACAUGCGUAGUAUUUUGGUAGAUUCAAUUGUUACAGAAAAAAGGAUAUUUUGGCAGUAUUUCUUCAGCUCCAUUGAAUAGGUAUGGUUAUUUUAAAAUUUCGCAGUGACAACCAUUUGUGUCCUUUUUAUGGUUAAGAGUAACCUAUUUGUUCACUUUCUUGACAGAGUGAGCAAUUUGAAUUUUUUUCUCGUCAUGUGCUUGAUGAAUUGCUUAUAAAUGCAUAAAAGAAAAUAUUAACAGAUCCCAGAUCACCUUAAGUACUCAGUAUGCUUAGACUAUACGGCUACUCUCUAUAACUACUGUUAAGUAGAAGUCCUACAUGUGAUCCUCCUGUUAUAGAAAGGGUGGUUACUACAUCUGUAGCUUUGUGCUUAAUCUGUGGUUUUGCAUCUUUUUUCGCCCCCUUCUUAAAUUUCAUAGUGAUAAUAUUGAUUGCUCAUGUUAUGUCUAGCAGCAAGGCGUCGGUGUAGGCUUGCAACGGUGGUGACAGAAGGCAGGCUGUGAUUGAUCUUGAGAUUGCCUUGACCCCUGUGUCGUAGCGGCUGCUGAUUAGAAGAUCUCUAUCUUGAGAAUUCAAGGACCCCUGGGUUGAGGAGGACUCGGCCGGGGAAUGCAUUCGUUGCUGGAAGCUACUAUUUAACAGGGACACAAGUAACAACAGGAUUCCACAUUUGAAUAAGGAUUGGAACGUGAAUGUCGACGCGAGCUCAAUACACUAUGAUCUGACCAUCCAACCGUGUUUGACCCUUCCAGGUUCA
Long non-coding RNA from Lolium rigidum, 2689 nucleotides. RefSeq lists it as uncharacterized. The record is from RefSeq and is a predicted model, not a curated record. Lineage: Eukaryota; Viridiplantae; Streptophyta; Magnoliopsida; Poales; Poaceae. The transcript is spliced from 5 exons.